AUACGUAGGUGGCGAGCGUUGUCCGGAAUUACUGGGUGUAAAGGGCGUGUAGGCGGGUCUGCAAGUCAGAUGUGAAAUUCCAGGGCUCAACCCUGGCGCUGCAUCUGAAACUGUGGAUCUUGAGUGCUGGAGAGGAAAGCGGAAUUCCUAGUGUAGCGGUGAAAUGCGUAGAUAUUAGGAGGAACACCAGUGGCGAAGGCGGCUUUCUGGACAGUAACUGACGCUGAGGCGCGAAAGCGUGGGUAGCGAACAGGAUUAGAUACCCUGGUAGUCCACGCCGUAAACGAUGGAUACUAGGUGUAGGAGGUAUCGACCCCUUCUGUGCCGGAGUAAACACAAUAAGUAUCCCACCUGGGGAGUACGGCCGCAAGGUUGAA
Molecule: ribosomal RNA, 377 nt
Filed under: uncultured bacterium
Lineage: Bacteria
Description: bacterial SSU rRNA
Rfam family: Bacterial small subunit ribosomal RNA
Source: RNAcentral